Molecule: long non-coding RNA, 575 nt
Organism: Corvus hawaiiensis (hawaiian crow)
Lineage: Eukaryota; Metazoa; Chordata; Aves; Passeriformes; Corvidae
Exons: 3
Source: RefSeq, a predicted model, not a curated record
GAGGUCUAACAAGAGCAUGAAGACAUUUUCUCCUUUGUUCUCCUUGAUUCUGAGUGACACAGAAAAGUGUACCCCAUCAUCUCUUUCACUUCAGAUACCAGCUGUGACACCUGGACUCACCUAGUGACUACUCUUACAUUCCAGCAAUACUUUUUAAGACACGAAAAGCAUUUGAAGCUUUCUCCCCAUGGACACCCAGAGGAACUCAGGACUGGAGCUGUGGCUGUGGAGCUGCAGUGUUGGACAGUGCUCAAGACACCUCCUGGGAAGAGGAACAGGGCCUGAUGGCCAUCAGAUGAUCAUUGAAAGAGCUGUUGCUUUAAAUGAGUUUAUUCACAGUUAAACAUUUCACAUGAGUUACUCAAGAGAACUUGUUUGUUAGAGGCAGGUGGUGACUAAUCAUCUCCUAGCCCACCUUUACCACAUUCAAGAGUUGUCAGAAAGCUGACAAGCAGAAGAACCUCUUUGUAACUCGUCAUUAUAACAAGCUAACAUAGGAGGCACCGACCCCCGCUGCAGUUGGAUUAAAAUGGGAAAAAUAGGGCUUCUAAGUUCCUUUUCCUUGUCCUUGGAGC